This 2139-nucleotide long non-coding RNA is filed under the name Ananas comosus (pineapple). RNAcentral describes it as "long non-coding RNA (ACOM_LNC026388)". Lineage: Eukaryota; Viridiplantae; Streptophyta; Magnoliopsida; Poales; Bromeliaceae. The record is from RNAcentral.
UAUAUAUUUUAUUUUUAAGUGAAACUACAGAUAUUGUGGGCGUGUUUGGUUUGCUUCUUUUUCACUCUAGAUUCAGAAUCGGAAUGGGUGAAUUCAUUUGUAGGUAUUUGGUACGCAGGAGUACCAUUUCGAUUCCGAUUUUCAAGUGAAAUUAGAAUCCCUCAAUCAUCUCUUUUUCCAAUCCAGCCUAAGAGGGCGGAUUGGAAGUUGAAUCCGGACGCAAUGGAUAUUUAUUCAGAUGAAAUUUAUUUUUUAAUUUUUUAACUAAAAAAAUAUGAGUUUAAAUUUAGAAAUUAAAUUUAUAAUUUUAAAUUUUAAUUUGAAUUUGAAUUUGAAUUAAAAAUUAAAAUUUAAUCAAGUAUUUCGAAUCUAACUUAUGAAUUUGAAUUUAAAUUAAAUUUUAAUUUAUAUAAAGUUUUAUUCAAAUUUUAUUUAAAACUUAAAUUAAAUUUAUAGAUUCAAAUUAAAAUUUAAAUUAUAAUUUUAAGUUUGAAUUUGAAUAAAUCAAAAUUUAGUUUUAUAUUUUGAAUUAUCCACUCAACUUCAAAAUUUAAUUUUUUUAAAAAAAGAUUUAAAAUUUUGACAUUAUUUCAAAAUUUUGAUGUAAAAUUUUAAUUUUUAAUUCUUAAUUUGAAUUUAAAUUAAUAUAAUAUAAAGAUAAAGUUAGUAUAUUAAUUUGAUUACGUUUUUUAUAUCUAUCUGAACCAAACACUGACAAUGAAAAUAAUUUAUUCCGAUUCCGAUUCAGAUAACAAACCAAACAGAAUUAGCUAAUGAGUCAUUCUGUUUCCGAUUCCAGCUUAUUUCGAUUUCGAUUCUGAUUCCGACUUCAAACCAAACGUGCCAUGUAUUUUAACGGACUCGAUAUGUGGAACAUUAUAAUAAUAUUAUAUAAGUAUGAACACAUAUGUGUAUAUUGAGUUGGACUGGACUACUAUUAGUAGCAAAAUCUCAUUGUUGCUACCAGUUUUUUAGCCUUUGGAUCAACUCUUUUCAUUAUUUCUAACCAUUGGAUUAAAUACUAUAACCCAGUGGGGACCACUCAACCUUAGGGGGACCACUCAACCUUAGGUGACCACUCAACUCUAACCGUGUGACGCUCCAACUUUCCAGGGGGUCACCCAUCCUAGGACUACUCUCGUCCUAGCACGCUUAACUCUCUUAACCUCUUGAGCCUUGCCACCACCCAAAAUGCUUAAGCCGGGUUAAGAGUUUAGCCCUAUUAUAUCUUAUAUAUAGGACUACCCGGGGUCUCACAAUCUCCCCCCCUUUACGCCCUGACGUCCUCGUCAGGCUCAGACUCACAAGUACCAGGCGAUGUGAGACUCGUCUCGCUAGCCCGUCAUCCAGACCCUGGCUCAGCCGAGACUCAUUUCACACUUCCGGCUGAUAAUUGGCUCUGAUACCAACUGUGACGCUCCAACUUCCCAGAGGGUCACCCAUCCUAGGACUACUCCCGUCCUAGCACGCUUAACUCUUUUAACCUCUUGGGCCUUGCCACCACCCAAAAUGCUUAAGCCGGGUUAAGAGUUUAGCCCUAUUAUAUCUUAUAUAUAGGACUACCCGGGGUCUCACAAUCUCCCCCCCUUUACGCCCUGACGUCCUCGUCAGGCUCAGACUCACAAGUACCAGGCGAUGUGAGACUCGUCUCGCUAGCCCGUCAUCCAGACCCUGGCUCAGCCGAGACUCAUUUCACACUUCCGGCUGAUAAUUGGCUCUGAUACCAACUGUGACGCUCCAACUUCCCAGAGGGUCACCCAUCCUAGGACUACUCCCGUCCUAGCACGCUUAACUCUUUUAACCUCUUGGGCCUUGCCACCACCCAAAAUGCUUAAGCCGGGUUAAGAGUUUGGCCCUAUUAUAUCUUAUAUAUAGGACUACCCGGGAUCUCACAAACCGACUAAUAUCAUCACGACCCUACAAUUUUUCAUCCAAUGAUUAAAAACUUGAUAGCAAAAAGAGUGUUUUACUAUUAAUAGUAUUCCAGCCUAAUUCGUGUAUAUUUUUUAUUUUUAAGUGAAACUACAUAUAUCAUAUCUUAACAAACUCUUUACAGUAUGUAGAACAUAACAUUAUAUUUGAACAAAACAAAUUUUAAAUUGUACGUUUUAAUGUAUAUAACGCAAUUAGUCUCAAAAC